RNAcentral lists this transfer RNA (58 nucleotides) under Phaeocystis antarctica. Lineage: Eukaryota; Haptophyta; Phaeocystales; Phaeocystaceae. The record is from RNAcentral.
UUGGAUCAGUUGGCAGAUCGUCAGAUUUGAAAUCCGAGGGUCUUCGGUUCAAUUCCCG